UCAUCAUGGGAGUGAUUUGUCAGCGGACGC
Molecule: non-coding RNA, 30 nt
Filed under: Homo sapiens (human)
Lineage: Eukaryota; Metazoa; Chordata; Mammalia; Primates; Hominidae
Source: RNAcentral